AUUAAACGCUGGCGGAAUGCUUUACACAUGCAAGUCGAACGGCAGCACGGACUUCGGUCUGGUGGCGAGUGGCGAACGGGUGAGUAAUAUAUCGGAACGUACCCAGAAGUGGGGGAUAACGUAGCGAAAGUUACGCUAAUACCGCAUACGAUCUACGGAUGAAAGUGGGGGACCUUCGGGCCUCAUGCUUGUGGAGCGGCCGAUAUCUGAUUAGCUAGUUGGUGAGGUAAAGGCUCACCAAGGCGACGAUCAGUAGCUGGUCUGAGAGGACGACCAGCCACCCUGGGACUGAGACACGGCCCAGACUCCUACGGGAGGCAGGAGUGGGGAAUUUUGGACAAUGGGCGCAAGCCUGAUCCAGCAAUGCCGCGUGAGUGAAGAAGGCCUUCGGGUUGUAAAGCUCUUUUGUCAGGGAAGGAACGGUCUGGGCUAAUAUCCUGGGCUAAUGACGGUACCUGAAGAAUAAGCACCGGCUAACUACGUGCCAGCCGCCGCCGUAA
RNAcentral lists this ribosomal RNA (500 nucleotides) under uncultured bacterium. RNAcentral describes it as "partial 16S ribosomal RNA". It matches the Rfam family "Bacterial small subunit ribosomal RNA", at positions 30 to 523 of the family's 1533-position model. The record is from RNAcentral.